RNAcentral lists this ribosomal RNA (484 nucleotides) under uncultured bacterium. RNAcentral describes it as "partial 16S ribosomal RNA". It matches the Rfam family "Bacterial small subunit ribosomal RNA", at positions 30 to 507 of the family's 1533-position model. The record is from RNAcentral.
AUUGAACGCUGGCGGCAGGCCUAACACAUGCAAGUCGAGCGGAUGAAGGGGGCUUGCUCCUGGAUUCAGCGGCGGACGGGUGAGUAAUGCCUAGGAAUCUGCCUGGUAGUGGGGGAUAACGUCCGGAAACGGGCGCUAAUACCGCAUCCGUCCUGAGGGGGAAAGUGGGGGAUCUUCGGACCUCACGCUACCAGAUAAGCCUAGGUCGGAUUAGCUAGUUGGUGGGGUAAAGGCCUACCAAGGCGACGAUCCGUAACUGGUCUGAGAGGAUGAUCAGUCACACUGGAACUGAGACACGGUCCAGACUCCUACGGGAGGCAGCAGUGGGGAAUAUUGGACAAUGGGCGAAAGCCUGAUCCAGCCAUGCCGCGUGUGUGAAGAAGGUCUUCGGAUUGUAAAGCACUUUAAGUUGGGAGGAAGGGCAGUAAGUUAAUACCUUGCUGUUUUGACGUUACCAACAGAAUAAGCACCGGCUAACUUCGUG